GCAUAAUUAUUUUCAUCACAGUACAUUAUAUAAUCAUCACUUAUAUAUUACUAUAUUUUCACAACUGCUAGCGUCUAGUAAUUAUACCAUAGUUAAUUAUCAAUCAAUAAUGGUGAUCAUACAUGAUAGUGCUGUUUAUUAUUAUUUAAAUAAUGACAACCACAAUAUACCUUAGGUAAUCAUUCAUGUAUAUUACAAUGUACUCAAUUUCACAUGAUCUACAUUCGCACAAUAAUAUUUCUAACAAUCAUUUACACUGUCUACAGAUGCACGUUUUUUUUUUUUUUACGUACUAUAAUCACAACUGUCAGGCUUUGUCCAUAUCUCUCCUUUAAGCCUUUCCACAAGAUGAGUGGAUCCUUGACGGUGAGAUAUUCAAUCUUCAAACAUUCAUCAAGGUGAUGGCGCAAGAAAAUCAAN
RNAcentral lists this long non-coding RNA (420 nucleotides) under Nicotiana benthamiana. RNAcentral's name for it is "long non-coding RNA (NBEN_LNC017554)". The record is from RNAcentral. Lineage: Eukaryota; Viridiplantae; Streptophyta; Magnoliopsida; Solanales; Solanaceae.